This 433-nucleotide ribosomal RNA is filed under the name Klebsiella pneumoniae. RNAcentral describes it as "bacterial SSU rRNA". It matches the Rfam family "Bacterial small subunit ribosomal RNA", at positions 373 to 800 of the family's 1533-position model. The record is from RNAcentral. Lineage: Bacteria; Pseudomonadati; Pseudomonadota; Gammaproteobacteria; Enterobacterales; Enterobacteriaceae.
GGGCGCAAGCCUGAUGCAGCCAUGCCGCGUGUGUGAAGAAGGCCUUCGGGUUGUAAAGCACUUUCAGCGGGGAGGAAGGCGGUGAGGUUAAUAACCUCAUCGAUUGACGUUACCCGCAGAAGAAGCACCGGCUAACUCCGUGCCAGCAGCCGCGGUAAUACGGAGGGUGCAAGCGUAAUCGGAAUUACUGGGCGUAAAGCGCACGCAGGCGGUCUGUCAAGUCGGAUGUGAAAUCCCCGGGCUUAACCUGGGAACUGCAUUCGAAACUGGCAGGCUAGAGUCUUGUAGAGGGGGGUAGAAUUCCAGGUGUAGCGGUGAAAUGCGUAGAGAUCUGGAGGAAUACCGGUGGCGAAGGCGGCCCCUGGACAAAGACUGACGCUCAGGUGCGAAAGCGUGGGGAGCAAACAGGAUUAGAUACCCUGGUAGUCCACGC